Oncorhynchus keta (chum salmon) is the source of this 771-nucleotide long non-coding RNA. RefSeq lists it as uncharacterized. The record is from RefSeq and is a predicted model, not a curated record. NCBI's taxonomy places the organism in Eukaryota, Metazoa, Chordata, Actinopteri, Salmoniformes, Salmonidae. The transcript is spliced from 2 exons.
CAGUAGGACCCACUGGCCUGCUGCAGCCGCUGCACCAUCCAGACUCAUGCCCAGAAAGUUCACUUUACCAUUAUCUAGAACUGGGAUUGGGGUUGGGGGAGAUGUUUUUGAGCCGUCACCUGGAAACACAGAGGCUUUCUUUCUUUGGACUUUGUGGCGGUUGGCAACCAACUUCACAACGUUACUACAACCAACCGGAGUGUGGACCUAAAUUCCUCUUCCAAUCACCCACGUGGGUAUGUGCUCCUAAAAACCAAUGAGGAGAUGAGAGGCCGGACUUGCAGCGCAUUGAGCGUCACAAAUAGAACCAAUUUCUAUUUUAGCGCCUGACCAUGCAGACGCUCGCGAGGAGUGUGGGUGCAAUGAUUGAAUAACAUGUGUGUGUACAUUUAUUUUGCAACACGAGCGGUGUGGUCAGCAUGUAAGUAACUAACUUACUCAGUUACAUAGUAACUUACUUAGGCUACUUACUUAUGAACUUUCUUACACUCCAAAUGUGAGAGAGAAAUGACGUAUUUACCUGAUUAGUUUGAUAUUAAUAGUUAACAGAUAAGACAUUUCUGUUCUACUAAUGCUGUGACUUUAUGGUCUCCACUCUAGCUCCCUGCAGCUAAUCUGUGUGUAUAAGAACCAGGAUUCCUCUGUAAGGUCAGGCUCAAGAGUGUUGGGUCAGGUCAGUCUCAUUAUUGCAGAGCACUCACUCCAUUCACGUGUGUGUGUGGUCUGCUUCUUAUUAAUACGUUUUGAAUAAAGUAAUAUCCUGAUAGGUGA